AGAGAAUAUUGCUUCCGAUUUAUUAUCAUCCCUACUGGGAGAUAAUAAACCUUAGGGUAUGAUGAGUAAUUAUCGUGCCUGCCAUUGUGCAAAGGAAGAGGUACUAAAAUU
RNAcentral lists this non-coding RNA (111 nucleotides) under Sporomusa malonica. RNAcentral's name for it is "MoCo sequence". It matches the Rfam family "Molybdenum/Tungsten riboswitch aptamer (Moco RNA motif)". Lineage: Bacteria; Bacillati; Bacillota; Negativicutes; Selenomonadales; Sporomusaceae. The record is from Rfam by way of RNAcentral.